CUAAGGCAUAUUCCAGGGUAAGAAUUGGUCUUGACAAAACAAAUAGAUUGGUGGCAUCUCCAAAACUGACUUAUGGAUCUUCACUGGAAAUGGAUUCUUUGCAAGCAAAAGUGAGUAAGAUUUACAAACUAAUAGAGUACUGUCUUCUCAUUCAUUUUUGUGUGAAUCUGUAUAUUAAGAAUCCCUAAAGGUGACAAAGGGGUCAAGUAUGCAAAUUGAAGUAUCCAGAAAGCAUCCUAGUAUAAACACUAGUUUACAAAUCUUGUUUCAGAUCUACUUGACAUGUGAACUGGAUCAUACUUCUGUGUAACCUGGUAAAGAAUACAGAGUAAGAGAAAUGUUAUUCCAAAGAGGAGGAGAGUAAGUGUAUCAGAAAAGUACGUCCUGGGAAGCCUGAAAAGUACAAAAAAGGGUGUGGCGUGAUUGAAAAAUAUACCCCAAGACUAGAGUCUGGUAUUUUGUUCAGUUUGCCGAAUCCUAGAGACAGCCUCAGGUCAGUGGCCUUUUGCUUAUUCAUUUCAACCAUUGUUUGUACCUGG
This 539-nucleotide long non-coding RNA is filed under the name Mus spicilegus (steppe mouse). RNAcentral's name for it is "lncRNA (ENSMSIG00000011568.1)". Lineage: Eukaryota; Metazoa; Chordata; Mammalia; Rodentia; Muridae. The record is from RNAcentral.